Molecule: long non-coding RNA, 1250 nt
Organism: Gallus gallus (chicken)
Lineage: Eukaryota; Metazoa; Chordata; Aves; Galliformes; Phasianidae
Source: Ensembl
ACCUCCAGUCUGCAUGAAGAUGGGGAGGGAGGAAGCUCUUGGAGCUGCUCUGCCUCCAAAAGUACCUUCCAGUGGGCUUCGUACACCACACAAAGAACAGGAUAGCUCAGAAGUUGGUGGCACCACCAAGCCUCUGUUAUAAGGUGGGAUUUUGCCUCCUCAUGGCUCAGAAUGGAGAGCUGCAAAAAGUUCUCCAUAACCUGGUGAUGCGGCCUCACCUUGAGCACUCUGCAGGUUUGUAUGCCACAAUAUAAGAAGGACAUAAACUUCUGAAGAGCAUCCAAAGAAGGGCUACAAAGAUGGUGAACGGUCUGGAAGGGAUGGUGUAUGAGGAGUGGCUCAGGUUCCUUGCUUUGUUUGGCCCAGAGAAGAGGAGGUUGAGGGGAUGCCUAGCAUGGAACCACAACCAUACCACAGCAAUCCCCAGCAGAGAACACCAGCAUGGACAACCUGUUCUUACUGCUGGCACUUCCUGCAAGGAGCUAAAGAGUUCCUUGCUCUGUUGGUACCUCUCAGCCACCCGCUAAAGUUGGGCAUCCUUCAACCUGCCCCCUGCUCCUCAUGACUCAGGGAAAAGCCACAGAAGGAGAAGGAGCUACUCAACCCUUUCUGACCCAUCUGGAAGGCAGCAGUGGUACAGUCCCAACGGAGAUGUUACAUAAACUUGCCUUUUGUUGACAUUUUCAGUUUUGUUACUUUGGGGUAAACAAAAUUCCUCUAGCAGAAUAAGCUGUCUUUGCAUUAUGCUGACCCUUUGGACAAUGCUCUCAGACAUAGUUUGUUUUUUGGGUGGUCCUGUAUGGAGCCAGAGGUUGGACUCAACAAUCCUUGUGAGUGCCUUCCAACUUGGGAUAAUCAAUGAUUCUGUCACACUGUGCUUGUUUCUUCUUCACAGGACGUUUCUAUUCAGUAGGUUGGAGAGCUUAUGGAGCAGGAGUUGAGGAAGGACAUGGCAUGAGGUUUAAAGACCAAGUGGCAUGCCAUGUGGCCGCCCAGAUGCAACUCAUCCACAGACUGCAUGGGGAAGCUUCAGUAUAUCAUGCAGAGACAGCAAGGGAACUGUGCAGAAAGGAUCCAAAAGUCCUGGGCUGAAAUCCCAGUAAAGCUGAUGGCAGGAUUUCCAUCCAUUUCAGUAGGGCCAGGAGCUCACCCUCUGAGAAUCCAUACUGGCUCUGCUGGGCAAUGAGUCCGUCUCCAACUUUUCCUUCUGUAUUAUCCAUUAAAAAGUCACAGAAACACCUGUUUUACAC